GGGCCCGCACAAGCGGUGGAGCAUGUGGUUUAAUUCGAUGAUACGCGAGGAACCUUACCAGGGCUUAAAUGUAAGUUGCAUUAGUUAGAGAUAGCUAUUUCUUCGGACCACUUACAAGGUGCUGCAUGGUUGUCGUCAGCUCGUGCCGUGAGGUGUCAGGUUAAGUCCUAUAACGAGCGCAACCCCUGUUGUUAGUUGCCAGCGAGUCAUGUCGGGAACUCUAACAAGACUGCCGGUGCAAACCGUGAGGAAGGUGGGGAUGACGUCAAAUCAUCACGGCCCUUACGUCCUGGCUACACACGUGCUACAAUGGUCGGUACAGAGAGCAGCCACUACGCGAGUAGGAGCG
Molecule: ribosomal RNA, 349 nt
Filed under: uncultured bacterium
Lineage: Bacteria
Description: bacterial SSU rRNA
Rfam family: Bacterial small subunit ribosomal RNA
Source: RNAcentral